RNAcentral lists this ribosomal RNA (515 nucleotides) under uncultured bacterium. Its description in RNAcentral is "partial 16S ribosomal RNA". It matches the Rfam family "Bacterial small subunit ribosomal RNA", at positions 28 to 523 of the family's 1533-position model. The record is from RNAcentral.
GAUGAACGCUGGCGGCGUGCCUAAUACAUGCAAGUCGAGCGAAUGGAUUAAGAGCUUGCUCUUAUGAAGUUAGCGGCGGACGGGUGAGUAACACGUGGGUAACCUGCCCAUAAGACUAGGAUAACUCCGGGAAACCGGGGCUAAUACCGGAUAACAUUUUGAACCGCAUGGUUCGAAAUUGAAAGGCGGCUUCGGCUGUCACUUAUGGAUGGACCCGGGUCGCAUUAGCUAGUUGGUGAGGUAACGGCUCACCAAGGCAACGAUGCGUAGCCGACCUGGGAGGGUGAUCGGCCACACUGGGACUGAGACACGGCCCAGACUCCUACGGGAGGCAGCAGUAGGGAAUCUUCCGCAAUGGACGAAAGUCUGACGGAGCAACGCCGCGUGAGUGAUGAAGGCUUUCGGGUCGUAAAACUCUGUUGUUAGGGAAGAACAAGUGCUAGUUGAAUAAGCUGACACCUUGACGGUACCUAACCAGAAAGCCACGGCUAACUACGUGCCAGCCGCCGCCGUAA